ACGUGCCGUGUCGCCCGGCCUCUAUCCGGGGCCGGAGCGCUCACCUGGCCACCCGUGUUUACUUACCUGUUGCUUCGGCGAGCCUGCGGGAUUGCCCGCUGCCGGGGAACCUGGUUUCCGGGCUUGUUGCUCGCCGAAGACUAUUACAAACUCUGGUUAAAGAUUGGUGUCUGAGUCGGUUAAACAAUCAGUUA
This 194-nucleotide unclassified non-coding RNA is filed under the name uncultured Onygenales. RNAcentral describes it as "sequence contains ITS1". Lineage: Eukaryota; Fungi; Ascomycota; Eurotiomycetes; Onygenales. The record is from RNAcentral.